UGCAUUCAUUACUGUAAGUUGCUCUGGAUAAGAGUGUCUAUUAAAUGACUAAAA
Non-coding RNA from Salmo salar (Atlantic salmon), 54 nucleotides. The record is from Rfam. NCBI's taxonomy places the organism in Eukaryota, Metazoa, Chordata, Actinopteri, Salmoniformes, Salmonidae.